GAUGAACGUUAGCGAUAGGCUUAACACAUGCAAGUCGAGGGGCAGCGAGGGUAGCAAUACCUGUCGGCGACCGGCGCACGGGUGAGUAACGCGUAUGUAACCUGCCCGCAACAGGGGGAUAACCCGGCGAAAGUCGGACUAAUACCGCAUAAAACAGGGGUCCCGCAUGGGAAUAUUUGUUAAAGAUUUAUCGGUUGCGGAUGGGCAUGCGUACCAUUAGGUAGUUGGUGAGGUAACGGCUCACCAAGCCUUCGAUGGUUAGGGGUUCUGAGAGGAAGGUCCCCCACACUGGUACUGAGACACGGACCAGACUCCUACGGGAGGCAGCAGUGAGGAAUAUUGGUCAAUGGGCGAGAGCCUGAACCAGCCAAGUCGCGUGAAGGAGGACUGCCCUAUGGGUUGUAAACUUCUUUUACAAGGGAAUAAAAUGAGAUACGUGUAUUUUAUUGCAUGUACCUUGGGAAUAAGCAUCGGCUAACUCCGUG
RNAcentral lists this ribosomal RNA (485 nucleotides) under uncultured bacterium. RNAcentral's name for it is "partial 16S ribosomal RNA". It matches the Rfam family "Bacterial small subunit ribosomal RNA", at positions 28 to 507 of the family's 1533-position model. The record is from RNAcentral.